Molecule: long non-coding RNA, 1184 nt
Filed under: Malus domestica (apple)
Lineage: Eukaryota; Viridiplantae; Streptophyta; Magnoliopsida; Rosales; Rosaceae
Description: long non-coding RNA (MDOM_LNC017922)
Source: RNAcentral
AUGGCUUUUGUAGGGAGUUAUCCUGAAAAGGAUUGAGAUCUAGGCUGAUUACAACUUUUAGACACAAAUCUGGCUUGAGACCAGAGUUUGUAUGUUUGUUUGUUUGAUUGGUUGAGUGUCCUUGUCUCUUGGGCCUCUUCCUCCUUUUAUAGACAUUUUAUCUUGGCUGUUGCAUAUUGUCUUGAGAUGGAUGGUUGGGCUUAGUGCUCGGCCUCAGGCGAGUUUCUUCACUUUGGCUCUUUUGGGCUUCUAUUCCUUUAAGUCCAAAGUUCAAAUAUUGACCCAAACAGUGCCCCCUUUAAUCAUUGUUGAGGCUGCAAUCUGAUGUGAAAAAUAAGUUAACACACAAAAUUAAACCCUCUUUUUAUCAAUUGUAGUAAAGUAUGUAAGUAGGGAUCGUUCUAGGCCGGGGAUUAGGAGGGAUUUCUAAAUCACUUGGAAACUGACUUGAAAACGUAAAAACAAAGUUUAAAACACUAACUAGACUCAAAGAAUGCAAAACUAUAGUUUAAAACACUAAAACAAACCGAAAGACUCAAAACAGCCCCUAAACACUCAAAACUACCUUAAACACACAAUCUGGGCAGUUUUGGGACUCUACACAAACUUGGACGAAUUUUGGUUUUCUAAUGAACUAAAACACUUAAAAACAUAAUCUAAGACAAGUUCUAAUUAAUAUGACUCAAAGAAAUAAGAUGGGGUUGAUUUUGGACGAAAAUAAUUAAAUUAAGACAAGAACAAAGUAAACAAAUUCUUAGACAAUUUUAAGUGAAUCAAAACAGAUUGUAAAAUGAAUUUGAAUGAAACUUAUGGAUGGAAGGCUAGCUAGGAGGUUCUUCUCCACACAUGUCACACUUGCAUACAAAACGAUUUCCAGUUGCUUUUCGAUAAGCUAUGAAUACUCAACGCCCCAAAUUAACCGUGAAUUGCACUAAUUAACCCUCAGUUUUUCCACAAGUUAUUAGGUUGGAUGAUUGCAUAUGACAACCCAAAACAUUCCCUACAAGUUCCCUACAUGAAUUGCAUAAUAGAGAUACAAGCAAAAAUCAUUAAGUUCUAUGAAAAACAUAAGCAUUGAGGAGGCACUCGUUACUAUGAUUUGCAUGAAACUUAUGCGAAGAAUUUACUUAACGUGAUUGUGACUAGCAACCUUCACUACUUGUGAAUAUAAGUUCAUAACGAUU